CAAGUAGAUCGCCUUAUCGAUUCUAAAUUUAUUUAGGGUAGGAAAGUCCGAACACCAUAGUGCAAUCAUAGUGGCUAACAGCCAUCCAUCGAAAGGUGAGGAAAAGUGCAACAGAAAGUAUGUACAGGUAAUGCUGUAGUGAAACCAGGUAAACUCUAUGUGGUGCAAUGUCAUGUAAACUAGUGUUUGAGCGUGCACGCGCGAUGCUAGAGGGUAGGCAGCUAAAGUUUGCUGGUAACAGUAAACGCAGAUAAAUGAUAAGGGCUUUUUUUUUUAAGAAUAUAAUUCUUAAAAAAGAAAAGUACAGAAUUCGGCUUAUAGAUUUACUUUACUA
RNAcentral lists this RNase P RNA (334 nucleotides) under Winogradskyella litoriviva. Its description in RNAcentral is "RNase P RNA component class A". It matches the Rfam family "Bacterial RNase P class A". From Rfam's summary of the family: Ribonuclease P (RNase P) is a ubiquitous endoribonuclease, found in archaea, bacteria and eukarya as well as chloroplasts and mitochondria. Its best characterised activity is the generation of mature 5'-ends of tRNAs by cleaving the 5'-leader elements of precursor-tRNAs. Lineage: Bacteria; Pseudomonadati; Bacteroidota; Flavobacteriia; Flavobacteriales; Flavobacteriaceae. The record is from RNAcentral.